GACGAAGGAUGCAAGCGUUAUCCGGAUUCAUUGGGUUUAACGGGUGCGUAGGCGGACUGGUAAGUCAGUGGUGCAAUCUCUUUGCUUAACAAAGGAACUGCCAUUGAUACUGCUAGUCUAGAGUAUAGAUGACGUUGGCGGAAUAUGACAUGUAGUGGUGAAAUACUUAGAUAUGUCAUAGAACACCGAUUGCGAAGGCAGCUAACGAAACUAUAACUGACGCUGAGGCACGAAAGUGCGGGGAUCAAACAGG
RNAcentral lists this ribosomal RNA (253 nucleotides) under uncultured bacterium. RNAcentral describes it as "partial 16S ribosomal RNA". It matches the Rfam family "Bacterial small subunit ribosomal RNA", at positions 524 to 776 of the family's 1533-position model. The record is from RNAcentral.